RNAcentral lists this transfer RNA (72 nucleotides) under Hoplunnis punctata. RNAcentral's name for it is "tRNA-Gly". It matches the Rfam family "tRNA". From Rfam's summary of the family: Transfer RNA (tRNA) molecules are approximately 80 nucleotides in length. Their secondary structure includes four short double-helical elements and three loops (D, anti-codon, and T loops). Further hydrogen bonds mediate the characteristic L-shaped molecular structure. tRNAs have two regions of fundamental functional importance: the anti-codon, which is responsible for specific mRNA codon recognition, and the 3' end, to which the tRNAs corresponding amino acid is attached (by aminoacyl-tRNA synthetases). tRNAs cope with the degeneracy of the genetic code in two manners: having more than one tRNA (with a specific anti-codon) for a particular amino acid; and 'wobble' base-pairing, i.e. permitting non-standard base-pairing at the 3rd anti-codon position. Lineage: Eukaryota; Metazoa; Chordata; Actinopteri; Anguilliformes; Nettastomatidae. The record is from RNAcentral.
AUCCCCCUAGUAAUAAUUUUAAUACAAGUGACUUCCAAUCAUUUAAUCUUGGUUAAACUCCGAGGGGGGAUA